CACGUAGGGCGCAAGCGUUGUCCGGAAUUAUUGGGCGUAAAGAGCUCGUAGGCGGUCUGUUGCGUCCGCUGUGAAAACCUGGGGCUCAACCCCGGGCCUGCAGCCGAUACGGGCAGACUAGAAUUCGGUAGGGGAGGCUGGAAUUCCUGGUGUAGCGGUGAAAUGCGCAGAUAUCAGGAGGAACACCGGUGGCGAAGGCGGGUCUCUGGGCCGAUAUUGACGCUGAGGAGCGAAAGCGUGGGGAGCGAACAGG
RNAcentral lists this ribosomal RNA (253 nucleotides) under uncultured bacterium. Its description in RNAcentral is "partial 16S ribosomal RNA". It matches the Rfam family "Bacterial small subunit ribosomal RNA", at positions 524 to 776 of the family's 1533-position model. The record is from RNAcentral.